UGUCUAUUUUCAGACAAUCUCAGUAUCUGUCGAACUCGUCUUCGCCAACUACACCAAUGCGAAUUUCAUACCUGCAAUGACCCUCAGUGUGUCCGAGGGGACAAAAGCUUUUGAAAUACUCGAGAUGGCUUCCCAACAAAACCCGUGCUACAGAUUCCAAUUUCAAACAUUCAGUAUUGGUCGCUUCAUUACAAGAAUAUGCUGUCUCGAACAAGAUCCAUCAGCUGACUUUUAUUGGCUCCUUUACAAGAAUGGUCAACUUUCCCAUCUUGGAGUUGAUGUGUUAACACCGGCGAAUGGAGAUACCAUUACCUUCAAAUACCAAAACGUUUGAACAUAAUUAUAUUAUACGACAAACGCUCUCAGUCUUGUGCAAACUUACUGUCUAACUUUCGUACUUUCUUUAAUUAAUUAAUUUUAAACUAACUACUCUGUUAUAGUCAAACCGGACCUGUGAGAGGUUACUGUUAUUUAUUUAAUUAUUUAAUAAGACAACUAUUAAAUGAUGUAA
Paramuricea clavata is the source of this 511-nucleotide non-coding RNA. NCBI's taxonomy places the organism in Eukaryota, Metazoa, Cnidaria, Anthozoa, Malacalcyonacea, Plexauridae. The record is from the annotation of a GenBank genome assembly.